Molecule: ribosomal RNA, 470 nt
Filed under: uncultured bacterium
Lineage: Bacteria
Description: partial 16S ribosomal RNA
Rfam family: Bacterial small subunit ribosomal RNA
Source: RNAcentral
GACGAACGCUGGCGGCGUGCUUAACACAUGCAAGUCGAACGCUGAAGCACCAGCUUGCUGGUGUGGAUGAGUGGCGAACGGGUGAGUAAUACGUGAGUAACCUGCCCUUGACUCUGGGAUAAGCCCGGGAAACUGGGUCUAAUACUGGAUGCUACAUGUCACCGCAUGGUGGUGUGUGGAAAGGGUUUACUGGUCUUGGAUGGGCUCACGGCCUAUCAGCUUGUUGGUGAGGUAAUGGCUCACCAAGGCGACGACGGGUAGCCGGCCUGAGAGGGUGACAGGCCACACUGGGACUGAGACACGGCCCAGACUCCGACGGGAGGCAGCAGGGGGGAAGAUUGCACAAUGGGCGAAAGCCUGAUGCAGCGACGCCGCGUGAGGGAUGACGGCCUUCGGGUUGUAAACCUCUUUCAGCAGGGAAGAAGCCACAAGUGACGGUACCUGCAGAAGAAGCGCCGGCUAACUACGUG